Molecule: ribosomal RNA, 486 nt
Filed under: uncultured bacterium
Lineage: Bacteria
Description: partial 16S ribosomal RNA
Rfam family: Bacterial small subunit ribosomal RNA
Source: RNAcentral
GAUGAACGCUGGCGGCGUGCCUAAUACAUGCAAGUCGAACGCUGGAGAUCUAGCUUGCUAGAUCGAAGGAGUGGCGAACGGGUGAGUAAUACAUAAGCAACCUACCCACGAAGACUGGGAUAAUCUCUGGAAACGGGGACUAAUACCGGAUAGGUAAUCGGAAGGCAUCUUCUGGUUAUUAAAGGUUAAAAACACUGGUGGAUGGGCUUAUGGCGCAUUAGUUAGUUGGUGAGGUAACGGCCCACCAAGACGAUGAUGCGUAGCCGGCCUGAGGGGGUGAACGGCCACAUUGGGACUGAGACACGGCCCAGACUCCUACGGGAGGCAGCAGUAGGGAAUUUUCGGCAAUGGGGGCAACCCUGACCGAGCAACGCCGCGUGAGUGAAGACGGCCUUCGGGUUGUAAAGCUCUGUUGUAAGGGAAGAACGGUAGAUAGAGAAUAUCUAAGUGACGGUACCUUACCAGAAAGCCACGGCUAACUACGUG